Long non-coding RNA from Helianthus annuus (common sunflower), 257 nucleotides. RefSeq lists it as uncharacterized. NCBI's taxonomy places the organism in Eukaryota, Viridiplantae, Streptophyta, Magnoliopsida, Asterales, Asteraceae. The transcript has 2 exons. The record is from RefSeq and is a predicted model, not a curated record.
GGCAAAUUGGGUGGAUCGUCAAGUAGUCAAGGCGGAAUGGAUAGUCGUUGAAAGGAAAGCUUUAAAGGUAACUCAUGAAAUGUGUCGGAUAAAGAUCAAGCGCGCACGAGGACCGAACACACAAAUAAAUGAAGCUUCCGUUGUUAUAUUAGUAGCUUUUGUUACAAAACUUGUAUGAUCAUCUUUUGAAUGUUCUCUUAAACUGGUGUAAAUAUCGUUUGAACGUUUUGCAAGCUAAGUAAACGUCGUUAUAUCAA